CUUCUACUCCCUCCGUUCUGAAUUACUUGUCGCAGGUAUGGAUAUAUCUAAGUGUAUUUUAAUUCUAGAUACAUCCAUUUUUGCGACGAGUAAUUUGGAACAGAGGGAGUACUUG
This is a non-coding RNA of Triticum aestivum (bread wheat), 115 nucleotides long. The record is from Rfam. NCBI's taxonomy places the organism in Eukaryota, Viridiplantae, Streptophyta, Magnoliopsida, Poales, Poaceae.